Molecule: ribosomal RNA, 585 nt
Filed under: uncultured bacterium
Lineage: Bacteria
Description: bacterial SSU rRNA
Rfam family: Bacterial small subunit ribosomal RNA
Source: RNAcentral
ACGGGUGAGUAAUGUAUCGGAACAUGUCCGGAAGUGGGGGAUAACGUAGCGAAAGUUACGCUAAUACCGCAUAUGCCCUGAGGGGGAAAGGUGGGGAUCGCAAGACCUAUCGCUUUCGGAGUGGCCGAUAUCAGAUUAGCUUGUUGGUGAGGUAAAGGCUCACCAAGGCGACGAUCUGUAGCUGGUCUGAGAGGACGACCAGCCACACUGGGACUGAGACACGGCCCAGACUCCUACGGGAGGCAGCAGUGGGGAAUUUUGGACAAUGGGGGCAACCCUGAUCCAGCCAUGCCGCGUGAGUGAAGAAGGCCUUCGGGUUGUAAAGCUCUUUCAGAUGGAAAGAAAUCGUGCAGGCCAAUACCCUGCAUGGAUGACGGUACCGUCAGAAGAAGCACCGGCUAACUACGUGCCAGCAGCCGCGGUAAUACGUAGGGUGCGAGCGUUAAUCGGAAUUACUGGGCGUAAAGCGUGCGCAGGCGGUUUUGUAAGACAGAUGUGAAAUCCCCGGGCUUAACCUGGGAACUGCAUUUGUGACUGCAGGGCUAGAGUGUGGCAGAGGGGGGUAGAAUUCCACGUGUAGCAGUG